AACCGCCCGACCCCGGAGCCCAAGCUCUGCGCCGCUGCAGGGGAGGACGCGGCGGGGCAGGCAGGAAUCAGCGCUGCAGUCCCCGCGAGCGGCCAACGCGGGCCGCCCGGGGUCGGAGGGGAUCACCCCGCCGAGGCUCCCCGCCCCUUCCUCCCCUUCCCCUUCUCCUUUUCCGCGCCGCCGAGUCGGAGCCGCGCUGCUCGCCCGGCGGCCGCCCAGACCGCCCGCUCCCCCCCGGCUGCCCGCGCGGGGCCCCGGGAGCGGGCCCCAGAACUUUCCAGGGAGGAGAGGCUCGCGGGCGAGGCGGGAGGACUGGAAGGUGAGGCGCGCGGCGGCGGCGGCGGCGGCGGGAGGGGGGGGCGGGGGGAGCGGGGGGCGGGGGGCGGGGCGCGCGCGCAGGUGCACGCGGGGCGGCGGCCGCGGGGCUGCAGGUGCGGGAGGCCGGCGGGGCGCGGCGGGGCGCGGCGGGGCCCGAGGCCGAGGGCCUGGCCGUUCCCGCGUGCUGCGGGGCGCGCUGGCCGCGGGCGGCGCCUCCGUGCGGCUCGGGGCGCGCUUCCCCUUUCUCCGGGGCCGGCGGCGCUCGCUCCUGCGCGGGGCGGGGCGGGGCCGGUGACGCGGGAGCCGAGGGGCCGCCACCUACCGCCCGCCCCGCGGUGCCCGGGCGGGGGCGCGCCGAGGCCGGGAGCGGGGGGUGCGGGGAUGUCUGCGAUCACCGCAGGGAAUUUCUCAGCCACCCCAAAGGCGAGAAUCUCCACUUCAACCGUAGCUUGUCCCCUGAGGGACCGAGGUGAUGGGAAGAACAUGACGGAGUGGCGGCGGGGGAGCCCCCCAGACUUCGGGAGAAAGGGGCCCGGGGCCGUGGCGCUCGCCGACAGCCUGGACGAGGCCCGGGGGGGGGGGGGGGCGCAGCCUGUGCAGGUGCGCGGCGGUGCUCUGGCCGGCGACGGCGCCCCUGCUUCGCGGCCCGAGCUGGGGGCGGGCGGAGCCAGGGACAGUGACCCCUCGGUGCCGGUUUCGCCUACUUAA
RNAcentral lists this long non-coding RNA (1026 nucleotides) under Canis lupus familiaris (dog). Its description in RNAcentral is "lncRNA (ENSCAFG00030020700.1)". The record is from RNAcentral. Lineage: Eukaryota; Metazoa; Chordata; Mammalia; Carnivora; Canidae.